RNAcentral lists this ribosomal RNA (253 nucleotides) under uncultured bacterium. RNAcentral's name for it is "partial 16S ribosomal RNA". It matches the Rfam family "Bacterial small subunit ribosomal RNA", at positions 524 to 776 of the family's 1533-position model. The record is from RNAcentral.
UACGGAGGAUUCAAGCGUUAUCCGGAUUUAUUGGGUUUAAAGGGCGCGUAGGCGGUCGGAUAAGUUAGAGGUGAAAUCCCGUGGCUCAACUUCGGAAUUGCCUCUGAUACUGUUCGGCUAGAGAGUAGUUGCGGUAGGCGGAAUGUAUGGUGUAGCGGUGAAAUGCUUAGAGAUCAUACAGAACACCGAUUGCGAAGGCAGCUUACCAAGCUACUUCUGACGUUGAGGCACGAAAGCGUGGGGAGCAAACAGG